Molecule: small nuclear RNA, 105 nt
Organism: Octodon degus (degu)
Lineage: Eukaryota; Metazoa; Chordata; Mammalia; Rodentia; Octodontidae
Source: Ensembl
GUGCUCACUUCAGCAGCACAGAACUAAACUUGGAAUGAUACCGAGACGAUUAGUGUAGCCCUGCACAAUGAUGACACGCAAAUUCUUGCAGCGUUCCAUGUUUAA